This 1551-nucleotide ribosomal RNA is filed under the name metagenome. RNAcentral describes it as "bacterial SSU rRNA". It matches the Rfam family "Bacterial small subunit ribosomal RNA". The record is from RNAcentral.
AGAGUUUGGUCCUGGCUCAGAACGAACGCUGGCGGCGUGGAUUAGGCAUGCAAGUCGAACGAGAAUCCUAGGCAUCAAGUUUUCGGACGAGAUAAUUAGGAGGAAAGUGGCGAAAGGGUGAGUAACGCGUGGGCAAUUUGCCGUCGAGUUGGGAAUAGCCCUUCGAAAGGAGGGGUAAUGCCGAAUGUGCUCGUGUCGCGCAUGCGACACUAUGUAAAGGUAGGGAUUUCGCUUCGGCGAGGCCUGCCGCUCGAUGAUGAGCCCGCGUCCCAUCAGCUUGUUGGUAGGGUAAUGGCUUACCAAGGCUUACGGGUAGCUGGUCUGAGAGGAUGGUCAGCCACACUGGGACUGAGACACUGCCCAGACUCCUACGGGAGGCUGCAGUCGAGAAUCAUUCGCAAUGCGCGAAAGCGUGACGAUGCGACGCCGCGUGCAGGAUGACGGCCUUCGGGUUGUAAACUGCUGUCAUGGGGGAACAAUGACCAGGGCGCUAAUAUCGCCAGGGUGUGAUAGUACCCCGGGAGGAAGCCACGGCUAACUCUGUGCCAGCAGCCGCGGUAAUACAGAGGUGGCGAGCGUUGUUCGGAUUUACUGGGCGUAAAGGGUGCGUAGGCGGCUUCGUUUCGGAUGUGAAAUCUCACUUUUCAUGGGUGAAAAUGCAUUCGAAACUGCGGGGCUAGAGUACAGGAGAGGAGAGCGGAAUUCACGGUGUAGCGGUGAAAUGCGUAGAUAUCGUGAGGAACAUCGGUGGCGAAGGCAGCUCUCUGGAAUGCUACUGACGCUGAGGCACGAAAGCUGGGGGAGCGAACAGGAUUAGAUACCCUGGUAGUCCCAGCUGUAAACGGUGUGCACUUGGUGUGGGUUGGUUUGUCCCAAUCCGUGCCGGAGCUAACGCGUUAAGUGCACCGCCUGGGGAGUACGGUCGCAAGGCUAAAACUCAAAGGAAUUGACGGGGGCCCGCACAAGCGGUGGAGCAUGUGGCUUAAUUCGAUGCAACGCGAAGAACCUUACCAGGGCUUGACAUGUAACUGCACGCCCCGUGAAAGCGGGGUUCCUUCGAGGGUGUUACACAGGUGCUGCAUGGCUGUCGUCAGCUCGUGCCGUGAGGUGUUGGGUUAAGUCCCGCAACGAGCGCAACCCUUGUGGCUAGUUGCCACUCUUACAGAAAUGUGAGAAGCACUCUAGUCAGACUGCCUGUGACAAGCAGGAGGAAGGUGGGGAUGACGUCAAGUCCGUAUGGUCCUUAUGCCCUGGGCUGCACACGUGCUACAAUGGACGGCACAGAGGGAAGCAAAGUCGCGAGGCGGAGCAAAUCCCCAAAAUCGUCCUCAGUUCGGAUCGAAGUCUGCAACUCGACUUCGUGAAGCCGGAAUCGCUAGUAAAGGCGUAUCAGCUACGACGCCUUGAAUACGUUCCCGGGCCUUGUACACACCGCCCGUCACAUCACGAAAGCCGAUUGCACCCGGAGUCGCUGAUCUAACCCUAGCCUUGUGCUAGGGAGGAAGGUGCCGAAGGUGUGAUUGGUAAUUGGGAUGAAGUCGUAACAAGGUA